UGCUCAGAAUAAAAAAAAAAAAAAAAAAAAAAAAAAAAAAAAAAAAAA
This 48-nucleotide non-coding RNA is filed under the name Alexandrium minutum. Lineage: Eukaryota; Dinophyceae; Gonyaulacales; Pyrocystaceae. The record is from RNAcentral.